UGGGGAAUAUUGCGCAAUGGGGGGAACCCUGACGCAGCCAUGCCGCGUGAAUGAAGAAGGCCUUCGGGUUGUAAAGUUCUUUCGGUAUUGAGGAAGGUUGAUGUGUUAAUAGUACAUCAGAUUGACGUUAAAUACAGAAGAAGCGCCGGCUAACUACGUGCCAGCAGCCGCGGUAAUACGUAGGGUGCAAGCGUUGUCCGGAAUUACUGGGCGUAAAGAGCUCGUAGGUGGUUUGUCACGUCGUCUGUGAAAUUCCACAGCUUAACUGUGGGCGUGCAGGCGAUACGGGCUGACUCGAGUACUGUAGGGGUAACUGGAAUUCCUGGUGUAGCGGUGAAAUGCGCAGAUAUCAGGAGGAACACCGAUGGCGAAGGCAGGUUACUGGGCAGUUACUGACGCUGAGGAGCGAAAGCAUGGGUAGCAAACAGGAUUAGAUACCCUGGUAGUCCAUGCCGUAAACGGUGGGCGCUAGGUGUAGGGGCCUUUUGGGGUUUCUGUGCCGUAGCUAACGCAUUAAGCGCCCCGCCUGGGGAGUACGGCCGCAAGGCUA
RNAcentral lists this ribosomal RNA (550 nucleotides) under uncultured bacterium. RNAcentral describes it as "bacterial SSU rRNA". It matches the Rfam family "Bacterial small subunit ribosomal RNA", at positions 355 to 896 of the family's 1533-position model. The record is from RNAcentral.